CCAAUAGCGUAUAUUAAAGUUGUUGCAGUUAAAAAGCUCGUAGUUGAAUUUCGGGAUCAAUAUAUCGGUCGUGCCAUUGGUACGUACUGGUAUCAUUGGUUUCUCCUUUCUGACGAACCAUGAUGUCAUUAAUUUGGUGUUAUGGGAAGUUAGGACUGUUACUUUGACAAAAUUAGAGUGUUUAAAGCAGGCUUUAGCUUGAAUACAUUAGCAUGGAAUAAUGAAAUAGGACGUUCGAACCUAUUUUGUUGGUUUCUAGGAUCAACGUAAUGAUUAAUAGGGAUAGUUGGGGGCAUUAGUAUUCAAUUGUCAGAGGUGAAAUUCUUGGAUUUAUUGAAGACUAACUACUGCGAAAGCAUUUGCCAAGGAUGUUUUCAUUAAUCAAGAACGAAAGUUAGGGGAUCGAAGACGAUCAGAUACCGUCGUAGUCUUAACCAUAAACUAUGCCGACUAGGGAUCGGAUGAUGUUAAUUUUUUAAUGACUCAUUCGGCGCCUUACG
RNAcentral lists this ribosomal RNA (500 nucleotides) under uncultured Glomeromycotina. Its description in RNAcentral is "partial small subunit ribosomal RNA". It matches the Rfam family "Eukaryotic small subunit ribosomal RNA", at positions 591 to 1092 of the family's 1831-position model. The record is from RNAcentral. Lineage: Eukaryota; Fungi; Glomeromycota.